UCAACCAUCAAGCUAAGCUUGUCGUUCGGACCCCCUUUGUCGCCUGGCGACAGGUCCGAAAGAUAAUGAACGGUGUCAUGGCGACCCUAUAUGCAACGAGCUUAGUAAAUAGCACGCAUUUUGGUGGUCGUCUGGCCCAAUCGUCACCUAUUUAUUUUUUCUCCAGG
This 167-nucleotide unclassified non-coding RNA is filed under the name uncultured Chaetothyriales. RNAcentral describes it as "sequence contains ITS2". Lineage: Eukaryota; Fungi; Ascomycota; Eurotiomycetes; Chaetothyriales. The record is from RNAcentral.